Long non-coding RNA from Dermacentor andersoni, 1054 nucleotides. RefSeq lists it as uncharacterized. Lineage: Eukaryota; Metazoa; Arthropoda; Arachnida; Ixodida; Ixodidae. The record is from RefSeq and is a predicted model, not a curated record.
GUGGAGGUCAAGCAAGUCAAUAUAGGUAGAGUACUCAGCGGAAUUAUGCGAGGAAUGCGAUAGCAAACAAUGGUUCAGGAAAUGUGUUCUUUUUCUGCAAAAUGAAAGCUGAUUAUUGUCAUUACAUGAGUCACUUUAGCAUCAUGAAACUGCUGAUUGAUAAAUUCAUAAACAAACCAAAAAACAAGCCACGCCAAAAAAGCAAUUUAAUGGUGCUCUCUUCACUCUGGGGUGAAUAAAAAAACGGAUCACCUCUAAUGUGUACACAUCAGACACCUUGCGAAACAAUAAAGUCAAUUUAGAGCUCGCCGCACAGCUGUGGGGGCCGUGCACCAAUAGUGACAGUUGCCACUGCAUUUAGAAAUUGAAUGCAUCCAUGCAGACAAGGAUGACUCUUAAUAUUUUCGGCUACCACUUCAAAUGCCUCCACCAAGUCUUACAAUGCUGCAUGCAGCCAGAUUUUAUGAAUGAAAAGCUCAUCGUAUGUCGUAUUAAAAAAAAUAACAGCAUAUUAUGAUUUAUCUUUCAGUUCCGGUAACAUGCAACGUACAAGGAAUUCACAAAUGGGUGGUAUACCAAAGAACUGGCCAUUAUUUCUGCGUGAUGCUGUGCAAGCAUGUGGCACUACCUAACAAGGGGCGCCCACAAAACAAAGCCUACGCCUAGCCACAGCCGCUCCCUUGUGCAGACUCCGCAAGCCAAGACGCCGUGAAGGCACAUGCAGGCAGUCAGCACACCUCGAACAACCAUCUUGACAGCGGGUUUGUCCCCCAAGUCGCCAAGGAAGCAGUUCAGGGAAUGCGACAGGCAAUGGAAACAGCCACUUCUCCAUGUAAACGAUACUCUUUCUCUCAGAUGACUCCUACAUCUCGCCACGCCAGCUCACGUGGGCAGACUCCACCAACAAAUAUACUGUGGAGGCACGUGCAGGUCAGAGGCAAGAAGUAGUGGCACUGCUGUCGACAUUCACCCAAUUUCUUUUUCUUACGCUGAGGCAGCCAGCACGCCUCGAACAGCCACCUUGACUGCGGGUGUGUCAGCAGAUUCCUUGAUA